Molecule: ribosomal RNA, 1334 nt
Filed under: uncultured bacterium
Lineage: Bacteria
Description: bacterial SSU rRNA
Rfam family: Bacterial small subunit ribosomal RNA
Source: RNAcentral
GAGUUUGAUCCUGGCUCAGAACGAACGCUGGCGGCAGGCCUCAAACAUGCAAGUCUAGGGGGUGUAGCAAUACAUCACCGGCGGACGGGUGCGUAACGCGUGGGAAUAUACCUUUUGGUUCGGAACAACUGAGGGAAACUUCAGCUAAUACCGAAUGUGCCCUAACGGGGAAAGAUUUAUCGCCAAAGGAUUAGCCCGCGUAGGAUUAGCUAGUUGGUGAGGUAAUGGCUCACCAAGGCUCCGAUCCUUAGCUGUUCUGAGAGGAAGAUCAGCCACACUGGGACUGAGACACGGCCCAGACUCCUACGGGAGGCAGCAGUUGGGAAUCUUGGACAAUGGGGGAAACCCUGAUCCAGCCAUGCCGCGUGAGUGAUGAAGGCCUUCGGGUUGUAAAACUCUUUCGACGGGGACGAUAAUGACGGUACCCGAAGAAGAAGCUGCGGCUAACUACGUGCCAGCAGCCGCGGUAAUACGUAGGCAGCAAGCGUUGUUCGGAAUUACUGGGCGUAAAGAGUGUGUAGGCGGUGCUCUAAGUCUGUUGUGAAAUCUCCCGGCUUAACUGGGAGGGUGCAGCGGAAACUGGAAUGCUCGAGUAUGGGAGAGGUAAGCGGAAUUCCUGGUGUAGCGGUGAAAUGCGUAGAUAUCAGGAGGAACACCUGUGGUGUAGACAGCUUACUGGACCAUCACUGACGCUGAGACACGAAAGCGUGGGUAGCAAACAGGAUUAGAUACCCUGGUAGUCCACGCCCUAAACGAUGCAUACUUGGUGUGAGUCAUUCAUUUGAUUCGUGCCGGAGCUAACGCGUUAAGUAUGCCGCCUGGGGAGUACGGUCGCAAGGCUGAAACUCAAAGGAAUUGACGGGGGCCUGCACAAGCGGUGGAGCACGUGGUUCAAUUCGACGCAACGCGAAGAACCUUACCUGGGCUCGAACGGCUUAAGACCGCAGUGGAAACAUUGUUUUCUCGCAAGAGACUUGAGUCGAGGUGCUGCAUGGCUGCCGUCAGCUCGUGUCGUGAGAUGUUGGGUUAAGUCCCGCAACGAGCGCAACCCUUGUCCUGUGUUGCCACUCCGUAAGGAAGCACUCGCAGGAGACCGCCAGCGAUAAGCUGGAGGAAGGUGGGGAUGAUGUCAAGUCAUCAUGGCCUUUAUGUCCAGGGCUACACACGUGCUACAAUGGACGGUACAAAGCGCUGCAAACCCGCGAGGGGGAGCUAAUCGCAAAAAACCGUUCUCAGUUCGGAUCGCAGGCUGCAACUCGCCUGCGUGAAGCUGGAAUCGCUAGUAAUGCCGUAUCAGAACGAUGGCGUGAUACGUUCCCGGGCCUUGUACACAC